Molecule: ribosomal RNA, 497 nt
Filed under: uncultured bacterium
Lineage: Bacteria
Description: partial 16S ribosomal RNA
Rfam family: Bacterial small subunit ribosomal RNA
Source: RNAcentral
GAUGAACGCUGGCGGCGUGCCUAAUACAUGCAAGUCGAGCGAACAGACGAGGAGCUUGCUCCUCUGACGUUAGCGGCGGACGGGUGCGUAACACGUGGAUAACCUACCUAUAAGACUGGGAUAACUUCGGGAAACCGGAGCUAAUACCGGAUAAUAUAUUGACCCGCAUGGUUCAAUAGUGAAAGACGGUUUUGCUUUCACUUAUAGAUGGCUCCGCGCCGCAUUAGCUAGUUGUUAAGGUAACGGCUUACCAAGGCAACGAGGCGUAGCCGACCUGAGAGGGUGAUCGGCCACACUGGAACUGAGAAACGGUCCAGACUCCGACGGGAGGCAGCAGUAGGGAAUCUUCCGCAAUGGGCGAAAGCCUGACGGAGCAACGCCGCGUGAGUGAUGAAGGUCUUAGGAUCAUAAAACUCUGUUAUUAGGGAAGAACAAAUGUGUAAGUAACUAUGCACGUCUUGACGGUACCUAAUCAGAAAGCCACGGCUAACUACGUG